GAUGAAGAACGUAGUGAAAUGCGAUAAGUAGUGUGAAUUGCAGAAUUCAGUGAAUCAUCGAAUCUUUGAACGCACAUUGCGCCUCCUGGCAUUCCAGGGGGCAUGCCUGUUCGAGCGUCAUUUAAACCUUCAAGCUAAGCUUGGUGUUGGGUGACUGUCCGCUUCACGGCGGACUCGCCUCAAAAUUAUUGGCGGCCGGUACAUUGGCUUCGAGCGCAGCAGAAACGCGAACUCGGGCCCAUCGUAUUGGCUCCCAGAAGCUAUCUUCACAAUUUUGACCUCGGAUCAGGUAGGGAUACCCGCUGAACUUAAGCAUAUCAAUAAGCGGAGGA
This 332-nucleotide unclassified non-coding RNA is filed under the name soil metagenome. RNAcentral describes it as "partial contains 5.8S ribosomal RNA, internal transcribed spacer 2, and large subunit ribosomal RNA". The stretch from base 1 to 120 matches the Rfam family "5.8S ribosomal RNA", at positions 35 to 154 of the family's 154-position model. The record is from RNAcentral.